This 593-nucleotide ribosomal RNA is filed under the name Bacillus sp. CH134b_4D. Its description in RNAcentral is "bacterial SSU rRNA". It matches the Rfam family "Bacterial small subunit ribosomal RNA", at positions 56 to 632 of the family's 1533-position model. The record is from RNAcentral. RNAcentral also lists the same sequence under 2 other names. Lineage: Bacteria; Bacillati; Bacillota; Bacilli; Caryophanales; Bacillaceae.
UGCAGUCGAGCGGACUGAUGGGAGCUUGCUCCCUGAAGUCAGCGGCGGACGGGUGAGUAACACGUGGGUAACCUGCCUGUAAGACUGGGAUAACUCCGGGAAACCGGGGCUAAUACCGGAUAGUUCUUUUCCUCGCAUGAGGAAAAGUGGAAAGGCGGCUUCGGCUGCCACUUACAGAUGGACCCGCGGCGCAUUAGCUAGUUGGUGAGGUAACGGCUCACCAAGGCAACGAUGCGUAGCCGACCUGAGAGGGUGAUCGGCCACACUGGGACUGAGACACGGCCCAGACUCCUACGGGAGGCAGCAGUAGGGAAUCUUCCGCAAUGGACGAAAGUCUGACGGAGCAACGCCGCGUGAGUGAUGAAGGUUUUCGGAUCGUAAAGCUCUGUUGUUAGGGAAGAACAAGUGCCGUUCGAAUAGGGCGGCACCUUGACGGUACCUAACCAGAAAGCCACGGCUAACUACGUGCCAGCAGCCGCGGUAAUACGUAGGUGGCAAGCGUUGUCCGGAAUUAUUGGGCGUAAAGCGCGCGCAGGCGGUCUCUUAAGUCUGAUGUGAAAGCCCACGGCUCAACCGUGGAGGGUCAUUGGAAA